This 253-nucleotide ribosomal RNA is filed under the name uncultured bacterium. RNAcentral describes it as "partial 16S ribosomal RNA". It matches the Rfam family "Bacterial small subunit ribosomal RNA", at positions 524 to 776 of the family's 1533-position model. The record is from RNAcentral.
GACGAAGGGGGCUAGCGUUGUUCGGAAUCACUGGGCGUAAAGGGCGUGUAGGCGGUUCGGUAAGUGGAAUGUGAAAUCCCCCGGCUUACCCGGGGAACUGCAUCCCAUACUGCUGGACUUGAGUGCGGGAGAGGAUGGAGGAAUUCCUGGUGUAGCGGUGAAAUGCGUAGAUAUCAGGAGGAACACCUGUGGCGAAGGCGUCCAUCUGGCCCGUUACUGACGCUGAGGCGCGAAAGCUAGGGGAGCAAACGGG